UAACACGUAUCCAACCUGCCGAUGACUCGGGGAUAGCCUUUCGAAAGAAAGAUUAAUACCCGAUGGCAUAGUUCUUCCGCAUGGUGGAACUAUUAAAGAAUUUCGGUCAUCGAUGGGGAUGCGUUCCAUUAGGUUGUUGGCGGGGUAACGGCCCACCAAGCCUUCGAUGGAUAGGGGUUCUGAGAGGAAGGUCCCCCACAUUGGAACUGAGACACGGUCCAAACUCCUACGGGAGGCAGCAUG
Molecule: ribosomal RNA, 243 nt
Filed under: uncultured bacterium
Lineage: Bacteria
Description: partial 16S ribosomal RNA
Rfam family: Bacterial small subunit ribosomal RNA
Source: RNAcentral